Long non-coding RNA from Hevea brasiliensis (rubber tree), 520 nucleotides. RefSeq lists it as uncharacterized. Lineage: Eukaryota; Viridiplantae; Streptophyta; Magnoliopsida; Malpighiales; Euphorbiaceae. The record is from RefSeq and is a predicted model, not a curated record. The transcript is spliced from 3 exons.
CCUCUAAGUGCCGCCACUCUCUCUCUCAUUUUCUCUCUCAAAAAUUUCCACCAUUGUUAAGCAUUUUCAACCUUUCAAAACUUGAUUCCACCCUAUAAACCCUAACAAAAGCCAUAAAAACCUCUUACUUGACCUUGAUAAGAAGAAUUGGAGGGAGAAAUUUAAAGAAUUUGGAGAAAGAAUUGAGGAUUUAGGAGCUCUAUAUAAGCUGAAAAAGACUUGGAAGCUCGGAGAGACUGAGUCAAGGCCUAGAGGCGACUCCAGUCAGAUAAGAGCAAGGAAAAAGCAGCAGAGUGAGCUGCGAUUAAACCGAGGAUUACAUUGAUCUUUUGUACGGGUAUUAUUUUAUGCCCUUGUAGAUAAAUUUUGAUGUAAAUAUGGAAAUGUUGUAUGUAUCAAUAUAAAGUCGAGCAGUUGUAAAUAAAUUGUAAUAAUAUUAUUUUGGAUUUUCUUCUGUAAAUUUAAUAUUUGUAUAUGUGAAUUUCCUGCUUUAUGUUUUGUGAAUGGAAUUAUUGAAUAU